This 253-nucleotide ribosomal RNA is filed under the name uncultured bacterium. RNAcentral's name for it is "partial 16S ribosomal RNA". It matches the Rfam family "Bacterial small subunit ribosomal RNA", at positions 524 to 776 of the family's 1533-position model. RNAcentral also lists the same sequence under 1 other name. The record is from RNAcentral.
GACAGAGGGUGCAAACGUUGCUCGGAAUCACUGGGCGUAAAGGGCGUGUAGGCGGGAAGGAAAGUCAGAUGUGAAAUCCCCAGGCUCAACCUGGGAACUGCAUUUGAAACUCCCUUUCUUGAGUACCGGAGAGGAAAGUGGAAUUCCUGGUGUAGAGGUGAAAUUCGUAGAUAUCAGGAGGAACACCAGUGGCGAAGGCGGCUUUCUGGACGGUAACUGACGCUGAGACGCGAAAGCGUGGGGAGCAAACAGG